Ictalurus punctatus (channel catfish) is the source of this 1382-nucleotide long non-coding RNA. The record is from Ensembl. NCBI's taxonomy places the organism in Eukaryota, Metazoa, Chordata, Actinopteri, Siluriformes, Ictaluridae.
UCGAUAUCCAUGAGAGCAGAGAAUUUUUGUAAAAAAAAAAAAAAAAGUAACACUAUCAAAAGGUUAAACAAAAAAGACACAGCCGCCUUUCAUAUUUACCAAGGGUGCCAAUAUUAGUGGACGACACUGUAAAUUAGACGGACGGAUGGAUGGAUAGAAAGAUAGAUAAGCAGAAGAUAAUUAUGUAAUGACACUGCAGAUCUAACAACGCUGAUUGGUUUAUUUAUUUAUUUAUUUAUUUAUUUUACUACAUUUAAGGUAACACUUUCUAUGAGGCCCAUGCUUAUGAUGAACUAUUGACCCGUUUAUAAUUUAUAAGCAUGUAUUACUGCUCCAUAAACACACUUAUAACGACACAUAAAGACCUAUACUUCAUUAUAAUAACAGUUUACACUAUUGUUAUAAUUACUUAAAAGUGAUACAAUUUGCUUUUUCAAUGCCCAUGCUCAUAAUGCAUUAUACACCAAUUUAUAAGUAUUAGUCAGUCUUAUGGUUCCAUUAAUGUAUUUAUAAAAAUACAGGCUGCAUUUUUAUAAUGUUAUAUUAUAGUUGUAAUGACUUAUUGGUAAAGCAGAUUUAUUUCUAGGCCCAAUUAGUGAACUAUUUUAUAUUGUUGUUGACGGUUACGUCGUGCUGCCUUAUAAACACUUAUUGUGAGUUAUAAUACAAUUACUAACCUUUAUCAGUGCAUAAUCGAUGGCUUAAAGUAAAGUGAAAGCAUAGGAUGCAGUUUCCAUAAUGGAAAUUGAAUGCGGUUGGCAUGGAGGCGAUCAGCCUGUGGCACUGCUGAGGUGUUCUGGAAGCCCGGGUUGCUUUGAUGGCGGUCUUCAGCUCGUCUGUAUUGUCGGGUCUGGUGUCUCUCGUAGAUUCUCUAUGGGGUUCGGGUCAGGCGGGUCGGCUGGACGAUCGAGCACAGUAAUACCACGGUCACAAACCAGUUACUAGAAGUUUUGGCGCCGUGGGCAGGUGCCGAGUCCUGCUGAAAAGGAAAUCGGCACCUCCAUAAAGCUCGUCAGCAGAUGGAAGCAUGAAGUGCUCUAAAAUCUCCUGGUAGAAUCUCCUCUCGACUUGAGAAAACACAGUGGACCAACACCAGUAGAUGACACGGCACCCCAAAUCAUCACUGACAUCAUGUGAAAAGAUUACUUUGCACCACUGAUCAACGGUCCAGUUCUUUUCCUCCUUAGCCCAGUAUUUCCAGGAAUCCCCUUUGUAAAUUCCCAAGGGAUUCCUGGGAAAACUGGACCCCGGGGACAGGGAAGAAAGGCUCUGUAUCAGACAAAAGGAUACCACAAAACAGGUAAAUACUAUCUAUAAAACAUUUCACAUUUAUCCAAGCGAAUAACUGAACCAAACAGAUUAAAGUUAUGGGCAGUGUAAAU